Molecule: ribosomal RNA, 7570 nt
Filed under: Triticum aestivum (bread wheat)
Lineage: Eukaryota; Viridiplantae; Streptophyta; Magnoliopsida; Poales; Poaceae
Description: partial small subunit ribosomal RNA
Source: RNAcentral
GGGUUUUUAAAGCUCACAGGGAACUCUACUCGACGUUAAGACGUGCCAGUAACAGUGCCGACCGGUCUCCCGGGGCAGGUGGUCACUUCCGCUCCGUCUGGCACCCGCUCUUCCGCUUCGGAACCGCCAGUUCCUUCCGCGCAUUGUCGACCGGUCUCCCUGGGUUGUAGGUCCGCUCGCCACACCACACACCGACGCCGGCACACCCCAAUUCUUCUCCGCUCUCCCUUUCUUUUUCCGUAGCUCAUAAUAAUAUUUCCCACUUGGGCUUUGCUUCGACAAGAAGCAAGACGAGGAUUGGUCUAGGGAAGGAGGGAAGGAGGAUACGAUGGACGUUAAGAUCUAGCUCCAGGUAUUGUUCACCAUAGUCCCGCAGUCUGCUAGACCUCUGUCGGAUGGGGGCAGGCGCGAUGUGGUGGUUCGUCCGCGUCUUCUGCCGCCGCUACCUCCUCGUCUAGCGGCGUGAGCAGUUCAGGCAGUUGCUCCCAGCGGGCCGGUUGCUGCGGGCAAACCUCCGCUAGGUCUGGAGGGAGCUCGACACCGCUGGUCGCCACUGCUUAGAGGUUGUGGUCGAGCUGCUUGACGCAUGCGUUCACCCCGCAUAGCGCGACGUAGGGCGCGACCGGCUAGGCCAGCCGGUUCUUCCCCUAGGUCGUCGCCUAGGCUACCGCGCGAGAGGCCGCCGUGGGUACUGCGGCCCGCCCUGCGUAGUGCCCGGUCUCCCGGUGCCGUUAUAGUAGCUGAGGCCCCCUAGCCGAGUGCCCCACCAGUGGUGGGACCGCGGAGGAGGCCAGUUCCCACGCAGUGAGUACGGAAGAGAACUCUAAGGACGUGGACGUAGUUAUCUAGAGUGAUCCCUCGUACCCGUCAUGAGUGGCGUGAGCGGCGUAGUGUUAACCAGGGAAGGUGCCGACCUUAAAGGCGGCAAACUGCCCCUAUUGGGCGUUAAGACCUUCCGGGCUACACUUUUCAUAAAACUACACAUACCGUAAGUCUUCCUCUACACCCACGCUCAUCGAUCAAACGUAAAAAGCCCGUUACGACGUGCUACCGAUGUCUAAAUACUUCGGGUCGUACGUAGAAAGUGUACCCUUCUCAAUACAAGUCGGUACCCCCGUUUUAAGCCAGCGCUCGUUAUGGUUCGGGUUAACGCGGUCAAGUUGAGGGAAUCCGUCCGACCCAGUCAGCGUCUCAUGUACCUUGUUAAACUCCUUGAAUACGUAGUAAACGAUCGUGUAUUACGGCGGAAGCUAGGUGACAAAAAGUGGUGCGUUAAGUAUCUACCGAAUUUUUAACUUUAGUUUCUGCCACAUCGAAAUGUGGCGGGGGUUCUAAACCUGAGACGGAAAAGAGAACGAAGCAAUGUCCUCCUUGACAACCGUUCGUACGGUGCCGCUCUAGUAGUUGCGGUGCUUGUUCCCCACGGAGCGCGAGGCCAUGCGGGUAAUGACCGCCGUCCGCGAGGAGGAGGUGCUCGCCGUGAUGGCCGCGGGGUUCCUCGCCGGCUUCUAGCGGCACGGGACCUACGCCGCGCCCGAGGUCUAGUAGCAGUGCUAGUUCCGGCUCCGGUUCUGUCUCAGCGCCGCGACACGUUGAUGUCCGCACGGGCUCCCGAGACGAAGUUCACGCCUCUCGCGACCCCCGUUCCGGUGGUCACGCGCCGGUACCAGGUUGAAGUACACCAGCUUCUCGACACCCUUGACGAUGUUCGGCUUCUUGUUCUGUCUGUCCCCGUGGUCUGUCUGCUUCUCGUCCACUACACGUAGAGGUUCUACCGGUGGUGUCCUCUUUGUUGUGGUGCAUGUCAGGCCAACGAACCCUACGAGCUACCCUAACUCCACGAAUAGAACCACCUAAGACCCUCGAGGGUAUCAAAGUAGUCACUUCGCCACCGCUGCGCGUACUUUCUGUCUUAAGUCGGGUAUGGUAGAUAUCGUCAGUUCUAGCGUUUACCUCCUUAAGACAUCACAAGCCCGUAUUAAGGAUCUACGAGGACCUUCUGAGUUCCGGUUGUUAAACAGUGUCUACAGUCCCACGUGAGGAACCCUACGAUGCUGUACCAGCACCCUUACCUAACCGACCUCGUUACACCCGGUUACAAUCACCUAACCCGUCGGUUUUGUGAGGUCAAACUGGUGCUUCCUGCAGUUCACCACGACGUUCCUAAUGUUCGUUUUUGCAGAGUUCACGUUGUCCAUCUGUACCGCGUCGACAAUCGGAACCUCUCGUUGUUGAGGUAACGUGUAUAACACCACAACAUGAGUCGACUCGUUUCACUUCCUCUUCUGGGUUAUGGUCGUCUUGAUGUCGUUUAACAUCUACGGAAGGGACUUCACAAACGACUUGGUUGACUUGAAGGUCUCGUGUCUUCAACCCUGGUGAGGUAAGGCAACUAUGGACCCCGGUUGGGGUAGUUGUAGGCUGGCAUAGCCAUAUGUGGUCUUGUUUUCCUACUCUAUCUUCGGGUUCACUUCCUUUACGAUUCUAACUCCGAUUAACAUGGUUCAUUGUCAGGCAAGAGUAGGGGCCACGAGAACCAGUUCUUUUUUCUGGUUUGUACCGCUAAACGUAACUGAAGUCCGUGGAGUUACGAUAGUGCGACUUCUGAUGGAUGGGUUACGGUCAAUAACAGAAUAACUGCUCAAUAACCUGCUCUAUCGUCCUAGCGCGACCAAAAGGUUCGAUCUAGAAGCUCGCCCUAUGGUAGUUUAGUCCGACGCUGUUCUUCUGCUCGUGUUUUGCCGGAAAUUUUGGGUGUAGCCGGUGAUGGUUAAGGCUCACUACGGCAUACCUAACCGUAUACGCGGUCGAUGUAAGGUUCCUCACUACGUACACCAGAACGCAGGUCAAGUGGCUUUUCCUCAGAACCACAAGUACCUGCUAUAGGACUAGGUAAGACUUCUAGACCUGUGUGUGUUCGUCAACGAGUGGGUUCAUGACGUCGACGACUUGGUUAUACCAGACUUUCGGUUUGCUUGGUUCACGUGGAAACCCGUUGUCUUUUAGUCGAUAAACCCAGUGUAAUAGUCACUUCCUCCUCACCGGUGACUGUUGUUCUUUCACGUUCGGCAUGUCCUCACCGGACACGGUUGGUUAUGGUUCCUUAACUCCCCCAAGAACCCGGAGCGACCGAUAAUGUCUUUCAAACAGGCGAAGAAACCCCACUAGUCGUUUGGUGAGUGGUUAAACAACUUCUUCUUGUGCCACAAACAUACCUGUGGAUGCCGUCUGCGUCGGAAGAGACGGGACUUUUUCCGGAACUCGCAUCGGGGUCACGAACGUGAGGGACUGAAAGCAGCGGUUAAGCACCACCUUUGUCUGCGUUCACGGUGUCCUUAUCCUCGCCACGACUACGUUCUGUUGGUGGGUCACCGAAUAGAUUCGUUUCGUAAUCGGGAGUUCUUAGAACCGGAAAGUCGUAUAAUUUUCCUUACGGACCUUGACGACGAUCGGUAGCUGGUAACCGCGGGUAUGGACGUUGUACGUCUCAAGCAGCAAGCGUGCCUAGUCUUUUCGGAAGAGGUAAACUGUCUGGUCUCUGAGUUGUGCGGGUAGGUCGUCGCUCGUAAAUGUUUUAACUAACCUAACGUUAUGUGAUAGGUCAUGUUUCGACCGGACUGGUUGGCACGGCGUCUGCGUGAGAGCGCCGCGCGUGUGGAACUAGUUCUUCUCGAGCGACGAUAGAGACACACGUUCGGUCAAACCGAGCUCCGUCAGUUCUUGUCAAUGGUCGUCCUACGUCGCUGUGCUGUCGCAGACUGGUUCAACCGGAACCUAGGGUUCACACUCGGACUGAAGCGGUACGUCCUUCCUUAUGAAUCUAUGUUUCCCGCUCACACCUAACCAUUACUGUGUCUUUGAGUCGUUGUGGAGCAGGUCUGUGACGUGCGUUCGCGUCGCCCUCCGGUGAGGCCGAAGGUGCGGUGAAUGUUGUCCUAGUUCUCCGAAAAACGCACCGUACCUUACUUUGUCGUUCAUUUCCUGAAGCAAGCGUUGACGUACUAGACGGUUGUCCGUUUUUGUCUUUCCUAAAGUGGCCGGCCCGAUGAAGUUGGGGACGGCUAGGGCUUCUUUGGAACCCGCCAGCACAGUGACCUGAAGUAGCUCCCUGACGGGUCUAGUCCUCCGAAGCUAUGUCAAAACCACUAACACCUAUUUAAGAGGUUCAUACGGGUAAAGUAAGGGAACCGCGUAGGUAAGUGCCGGGAAGUUCACCGCUUCGACAAAUACUUUCUCUAGAAGGCGAACGUACCGAACGGCGAUCGAGAGUAGAGACUGGCGCUGUUCCACAAGUGUUCAUUCCAUACCGUCCUUGACAAGUUUGAGACGGAAUGUCUCUAGGCUGAGUCAAGCCGUAUGGUGGGUGUCUGCCUGCCGGUCUGCCUCGCGCACUUGGUUACAGAGCUCCGAAUAGAAUCCACACGCCAUGUAAGUACGGGACGUUUAACCAGUUUCACCGAUGGUGAACGGCUCAUGACCAUGUUAUGCAGGAAAGUAAGUCGUAACCCCUCCUGGGGCAAACUUCACCACAUACCGGUAGACGGUUCUCUCAAACCUCAAUGAGUCCAACUACUCACGUGUCAUGGCCUGGACCGACGUACCGACGUCCUCGCUCUCCAGUACUAGCUAGACGACGUCGUUGUUGACUUCGUUCGAGUUCUGUCCUACUUCGCUGUACGUCUGUUCGUAGCGUGUCUAGCGCUCAAGCGGCACCCGCUGCGCCAGGACGAGUUCGAGGUUGGGAAGUAAGUCAGCAGUCAGCGCGUUGCCGGUGUAGUCUUCGAACGGAAAGCGAUGAAGCCAGGGAUGUCUCACCACCGCGCCUAACCCCGUCACCGGAUGUUCAACCUAGAGGGUGGAUGUUCGUUCUAAGUGGGUCAGCAGGUACACAGCGUCGAGUUCUUUCGAGUUCCCCGACACCACGGUCACUCAGGAUGAAAUGGAGGACUACUGAGACAAAACGUCCGUCUUGUAUAUGGACUUUGCCACGACCUCUCGUUUUACCAAGCACACCCGCCGCUCGGCCGGGAUGCGGAUGCGUAGUUCACCUCGCCGGACGGCAGCACGUACCGGUGGACCCUUCUCGGUGUUGUCGACGUUGCCGCGAAGGGAUUGAGAGGCGGAACCCCUGUUCCGCUUUGCGUUCUGCCCCCUCUACAGUGCCGACCGGUCUCCCGGGGCAGGUGGUCACUUCCGCUCCGUCUGGCACCUGCUCUUCCGCUUCGGAACCGCCAGUUCCUUCCGCGCAUUGUCGACCGGUCUCCCUGGGUCGUAGGUCCGGUCGCCACACCACACACCGACGCCGGCACACCCCAAUUCUUCUCCGCUCUCCCUUUCUUUUUCCGUAGCUCAUAAUAACAUUUCCCACUUGGACUUUGCUUCGACAAGAAGCAAGACGAGGAUUGGUCUAGGGAAGGAGGGAAGGAGGAUACGAUGGACGUUAAGAUCUAGCUCCAGGUAUUGUCAGUACACCUAUUGUAUCAAAGAACUAAAGAAGCCUACGGUUCAUACAUUUUAGUAUAGUAUAAAAGUCCCUUUUACUCUGACUGUACGCGAAACGAUAAAUCCUGUUUGACCUUUCCCCCCAACCCAAAUUACUUAUCUAUAUUGUUUGUAAUUUGACAACCCAAAAGCCCCCCAAAAGACUUCCUUAACCUACACCAAUUACUACUCGUAGUCCAAAAGAUACUUAGUUAUCACUACCUAUGUGUCUUGAUAAAUUACCUUUUACGCUACGCUAACGAUCUUACCUUUUACGUCGACUUGUUCCAUAACGAUAUCGACGACGAUACCUUCCCCAGCUUGCCGUCACCCCUUUGCUUAAACGUCCAGGUGUGUGGAAUUAUCUUUUAGAAGCUCUGGUGUACAAGUUCGGAAGGAACAGUUGAUAGUAUUGACUUUUAUCGUCACAAGGUAGUCAUAGAGGAAGUCUAGACCAUUGAGAACGACGGUUUUUCUACUCUCUCAUGGCUCAAUUGAGUCACCAACAGUACUGUCCCUUGUACGACGUUCCGUAAGAGUGAAGGUUCCUAAACCAAAACGCUCAUCACCGUGUUUUAGACAGGGGUCUCCAUUGAGAGCAUCUUUUCCAGUACUGACGUUCAGGACUAACACGAUGUAACCUGUGUAGUUAGGAGCUCCGAGAUGUUAGUUACGUGCUAUCUUUUAUAGCAGUAUAAGAACAACGUCUGUCUUCAUGGCUUAAUAUUACAGUUUCUUUUCAAGGAAAGACUAAAGAUACAUGUAUAGAUUCACUUUAGAAACUUGUCCUCCUGUCUAACAGCGGACAAACCUGCGAGAUGUCAAUUGGGUGUGUCGGUAGAGGUACCAUUCUUUGAUUCUUACUUAAUAAUGUAAACGUGAUUGUUCCCUACAAUGACGUGUAAGUAAUGAAAGGUAUAACUUCUUUUUCUUGUAAUGCAGGAACCUUCCGCUCCAAAGUAAGACUUCCCUUCAAGCGACCGUGUACUCAAGAUAAAAACGACGUAGUUUGACUAAGUCAGUGCUAUAAUAUGUAAUUUACUUAAUUUAUAAGACAAUCGAUACUAAUAAAGGUAUUUUGAUAUGGUAUGUUAUGCAAAAAAACCACUUGUGCUAUGUUUAUGCAACAGAAAUAAAGAGUAGUGGUAUAUUAGGAUUGAAAAAAACACAAGUGUAACUAAUUGAAAAGAGCAGCUCCCUCGGAUACCCCGUUUGCUACACCGUUUAUGGAACCAAGUCUUCAAACCCCUAAGUCGUGAACGGAACGUAGGACGUCUUCUCAUGCUGACCGUAUCACUGCUUAGAGCAUGCCGUCGGAGUCUGUCACGACUUCCCUUCGUUUGUGGAGGAGUACAACCGUUACGUAAGAGAAAGAUUUAACUUCUGUCUUUUCCCACCUACGUGUCUAAGUCAACGCAAAGUCUUUCGAAUCUACUCGAACACAGACGAUAACGUAUGUCUAAUCCUUGUCUUUUGCUCUUCCGCUUACAUUUGGAAGACAUGCUACUACUACUUCCACUGUCUCAAGAAGACCUAUGGCUACCACUAGAGCAACGUCGCUAACUCGUACGGUCUAGUCGGCCUACCUUCCAAGACUCCGACGUGUACCUGAUGCCCAGUCUCUGGCCGCGUCUCAGGUGAGGCUGCCGCAGACAUCUAUGGAGCUGCCGUUCCUCUCCGACCGGCAGGGAUACCGAUCCAUCUCACCCGUCGCGUCGACGACAACGCCCGCAGCCCCAUUAGCAGAUGAACUCUACGAGGGCCGUUACUGAAGUUAUAUGUAUGGAUUCUGAGUUUCUCGUAUGAAGUUGUGACGUAUCUACAUGAUGCGUCCUCCUCCUAGUGUGUUUAGUGCCGCCGUUAUUCCGAGAACGGUUCGGAGAUGUGACUUAAAAAGAGGUCCCAAACGUCAGUAAGAUUUACCUGAAGUCUCUCCACAAAGAAGAAGAAAUCACUAGUUAAAGACUGUUGUCCCCACAUACAAGUCAACAAAAGAGAUUGUUAUUGUACUUAAUCACAAAGAAAAACGCGACCUUGUGAUUAGUCACGAAGUGAGAGAUAUAUUUUUUUGUUAACAACCAACAAUACC